Molecule: ribosomal RNA, 254 nt
Filed under: uncultured bacterium
Lineage: Bacteria
Description: partial 16S ribosomal RNA
Rfam family: Bacterial small subunit ribosomal RNA
Source: RNAcentral
GACGAACCGUGCGAACGUUAUUCGGAAUCACUGGGCUUAAAGCGCGUGUAGGCGGGACGGCACGUCGGUCGCUGAAAUCCCCCGGCUUAACCGGGGAACUGGCGUCGAUACGACCGUCCUGGAGGGGCGUAGGGGGACCUGGAACUUCCGGUGGAGCGGUGAAAUGCGUUGAGAUCGGAAGGAACGCCCGUGGCGAAAGCGAGGUCCUGGACGGCUACUGACGCUGAGACGCGAAAGCCAGGGGAGCGAACGGG